RNA transcript from Strigops habroptila (Kakapo), 15532 nucleotides. It is a transcript of the gene named FAT atypical cadherin 1, with no coding region annotated. The record is from RefSeq and is a predicted model, not a curated record. The transcript is spliced from 31 exons. NCBI's taxonomy places the organism in Eukaryota, Metazoa, Chordata, Aves, Psittaciformes, Psittacidae.
CUCGUCAACUCUGUCCGCUCUUUGCCUGGACAUGUCUUAAGAAAGUUGGAUCUCUCCCUCCCUUUCGCCUUCUUUUUUUCUCCCCCCCUUUUUUUUCCCCCUCUUUCGCCCUCUGUUCUACCCCCUCUUCUUUUCCCCCCUCCCUGUCUAUUUUUCCUUCCCACCCUCGUUCAAGUUUCGAGCAGCGGAUGGGUGGGAGCCGACAUGCCGCGCUGUGGCGAUGGGCCCGGGCGCCGCUCUCGCUGCGCGCCGGGUCCGCGCUGAGCGCCGGGGCUGCGGGGUUCGGGCUCUAGAGGUGUGUGGACACCGGAGCAUUGCUCGCUUUUUCUCAAGCGGACAAAAAAGGGGGGUAGGAAGCGUGCGGACAUGAACUGAGCUAGAGCGGACUUUGGGAGAAGAGCGCCGAGUCCAGCUGGUCUGGGUUUCUUCGUAAUUGCUGCCAUGGGAAGAUACUUGACUAUGCUGUUGCUGCUGAUGCUGCUGGUGCAGCAUUUUGGAAACUGUGAAGGAAAUCAAAGGCUACAUCAUGCUCCACCAAUGCAAUUUACACAAGUAGAGUAUAAUGCCACUGUGUAUGAGAAUUCCGCAGCCAAGACUUAUGUUGGGCAUCCAGUGAAAAUGGGCAUUUACAUUACAAAUCCAUCAUGGGACCUAAGAUACAAAAUUAUUUCUGGUGACAGUGAGAACUUGUUCAAAGCUGAAGAAUAUAUUCUUGGCAACUUUUGCUAUUUGAGAAUACGAACCAAGGGAGGAAACACAGCUAUCCUUAAUAGAGAGGUAAAAGACCAUUACAUGCUGACUGUUAAAGCAGUUGAAAAAAACACAAAUGCUGAAACACGCACAAAGGUCAGGAUACAGGUACUGGAUACAAAUGACUUGCGGCCUUUGUUUUCUCCGACAUCUUACAGUGUUUCUUUGCCUGAAAACUUGGCAAUAAGGACCAGCAUCGCAAGAGUCAGUGCAACAGACGCAGAUAUAGGAACAAAUGGAGAGUUUUACUAUAGCUUUAAAGAAAGAACAGAUGUGUUUGCUAUACAUCCAACUAGUGGAGUGGUAGUUCUAACUGGUAGACUUGACUACUCGGACACUAAACGUUAUGAGAUGGAAAUUCUUGCAGUGGACCGUGGACUGAAGCUGUAUGGUAGCAGUGGCAUAAGCAGUAUGGCAAAACUCACUGUUUAUGUAGAGCAAGCAAAUGAAUAUGCACCAGUUAUUACAGCUGUUACGUUGACUCCAUCGGAAUCGGACAAAGACCCAACUUAUGCAAUUGUAACUGUAGAGGACAAUGAUCAGGGUUCUAAUGGGGAAAUAGCAGCAUUAAAUAUUGUUGCAGGUGAUCCACUUCAACAGUUCAAAACAGUGAGGUCUCUUCCAGGAGGUAAGGAAUACAGAAUAAAAGCCAUUGGUCACAUUGACUGGGAGAGCCACCCUUUUGGAUACAACCUUACCCUUCAAGCUAAAGAUAAAGGAAAUCCCCCACAGUUUUCUUCUGUAAAAGUUGUUCGUGUAAUAUCACCACAGUUCAAGUUUGGUCCUGUCAGAUUUGAAAAAGAGAUAUACAGAGCUGAAAUAAGUGAGUUUGCCCCUCCAAAUACACCUGUGAUAAUGGUGAAAGCUCUGCCUAGUUACCCACACUUAAAAUACAUUUUUAAAAAUACACCAGGCAAAAUAAAAUUCAAUUUAAAUGCUCACACUGGUCUUAUUACCACUUCAGAACCCAUAAAAGCACAGUAUGCAUCCCAUUUUGAACUUGAAGUUGCGACAAGUGACAAAAGAGCAUCUGCAAAAGUAUUAAUUAAGGUACUAGGCAUGAACAGCAAUCCUCCUGAAUUUACUCAGACAUCCUAUAAAGCCUCCUUUGAUGAAAAUGUGCCAGUAGGUACGAGUGUCAUGAGAGUAAGUGCAAAAGACCCCGAUGAAGGGGAAAAUGGGUAUGUGACCUAUAGCAUUGCAAACCUAAAUCUUUUGCCAUUUGUGAUUAACCAUUUCAGUGGGAUUAUUAGUACCUCAGAAGACUUGGAUUAUGAAUUGAUGCCAAGGGUUUAUAAUUUACGGAUUCGAGCUUCCGAUUGGGGUGUACCAUAUCGUCGAGAAGUUGAAGUUCCUGUUACUAUUAUUUUAAAUAACCUGAAUGACAAUAUACCUCUGUUUGAGAAAAUAAAUUGUGAAGGAACAAUCCCCAGGGAUCUUGGUGUUGGAGAACAAAUAACAACUGUAUCUGCUAUUGAUGCUGAUGAGCUCCAGUUGGUGAGAUACCAAAUCGAAUCUGGAAAUGAACUGGAUUUAUUUAGCCUAAAUCCAAAUUCUGGAGUACUUUCACUCAAACAGUCGCUAAUAGAUGGCUUAGGUGCUAAAAUAUCUUUUCACAGUUUGAAAAUUACAGCCACAGACGGAGAAAACUUUGCGAAACCAUUGUAUAUCAACAUAACUGUAGCUACUACUCGCAAACCAGUCAACUUGCAAUGUGAGGAAACUGGUGUUGCCAAAAUGCUUGCAGAGAAACUCUUACAAGCAAAUAAAUUGCACAGUCGUGGAGAAGUUGAGGAUGUUUUCUUUGACACUCACUCUGUGAAUCUUCAUGCACCACAAUUUAGAAGUACUCUCCCUAGUAGCAUUGAGAUAAGAGAAGACCAACCUGUGGGUUCCAGCAUAGUGCCUAUGAAUGCUACUGAUCUUGAUACUGGCUUCAAUGGAAAGCUAGUGUAUGUUAUUUCUGGAGGUAAUGAAGAUAGUAGUUUCAUUAUUGAUAUGGAAAGAGGAGUGCUGAAAACUUUAUCUCCCCUUGACAGAGAAGUGAAAGAUAAAUAUACUCUAAAUAUUACUGUCUAUGAUCUUGGAAUACCACAGAAGUCUGCCUCACACCUUUUAGAUAUAAAAAUUUUGGAUGCUAAUGACAACCCACCGGAGUUCCUGCAGGACAGCUAUUUUGUUGAAGUGAGAGAAAACGAAGAGCCAAAUAGUGAAAUAAUUCAAAUUGAAGCUACUGAUAAGGAUUUGAGGGCUAAUGGAGAAGUGAAAUAUUCUCUUCUUACAGAUACAGACAAGUUUACUAUUAAUGCUGUGACAGGAAUUGUGAAAGUUGUAGGGAUUCUGGAUCGUGAAGAACAGCAUGUCUAUUUUUUGAAAAUAGAGGCUAGGGACCAACCUACUGAAGAACCUCAAUUAUUUUCAACAGUUAUUUUGAAAGUGUCUGUAGAAGAUAUUAAUGACAAUCCUCCUAAGUUUAUUCCUUCAAACUAUCAUGUGAAAAUUCGAGAAGAUCUUCCUGAGGGGACUAUUAUUACAUGGCUAGAAGCCUAUGAUCCUGAUUUAGGCCAGUCAAGUCAAGUACGAUACAGUCUUUUGGACAAUGGAGAUGGCACCUUUGAUGUUGACAAGCUAAGUGGAGCAAUGCGUAUUGUAGAAAGACUGGAUUAUGAAAAGAAACAAUUUUAUAACUUGACUGUACGGGCCAAGGACAAAGGAAAACCCAUUUCAUUGUCCUCUACGUGUUAUGUUGAGGUUGAGAUAGUUGAUGUGAAUGAAAACUUGCACACUCCACGGUUCUCUAUAUUCGCAGAUAAAGGCUUUAUAAAAGAAGAUGCCCCUGUUGGCUCCUCGGUAAUGACAGUAUCUGCUUAUGAUGAAGAUGCAGGACGAGAUGGGGAGAUUAGAUAUUCCAUCAGAGAUGGAUCUGGUAUAGGAGUUUUUCGAAUAGAUGAAGAAAAAGGUAUUAUUGAGACUGCAGAUCGCCUGGAUCGUGAGACUACUUCGCAUUACUGGUUAACUGUUUAUGCAACAGACCAAGGCGUUGUGCCUUUAUCAUCUUUCAUUGAAAUCUACGUAGAAGUUGGGGAUGUUAAUGAUAACGCUCCUCAGACCACAGAACCAGUUUAUUACCCAGAGGUCAUGGAAAACUCACCUAAAGAUGUAUCAGUCAUUCAGAUUGAAGCAUUUGAUCCAGAUUCUAGCUCAAGUGAAAAGUUAACCUACAAGAUUACAAGUGGAAAUCCACAGGGUUUCUUUUCAAUAAACCCCAAAACUGGUCUAAUUACAACUACAUCUAGAAAACUAGAUCGAGAGCAGCAAGGAGAACACAUACUGGAGGUAACGGUAACAGACAACGGUAUUCCUGCAAAAUCAACAAUUGCACGGGUGAUUGUGAAGGUCUUAGAUGAGAAUGACAAUAAGCCUCAGUUCUUGCAAAAGUUCUACAAAAUCAGGCUUCCAGAGCGUGGUAAGCCAGAACGAGAGAGAACUGCUAGGAGAGAGCCGAUCUAUCGAGUUAUUGCUGCAGAUAAAGAUGAAGGCCCCAAUGCAGAGAUCUCAUACAGCAUUGAAGAUGGUGAUGAACAUGGCAAAUUCUUUAUUGAACCGAAAACUGGUGUGGUUUCAUCAAAGAAAUUUUCUGCAGCAAGGGACUAUGAUAUUCUUUCAAUUAAGGCUGUAGAUAAUGGUCGUCCACAAAAAUCAUCAACUACACGGCUUCACAUAGAGUGGAUUCCAAAGCCUGUCCCACCCACAGAGCCCAUUUACUUCGAGGAAGCAUUUUUUUCUUUUACGGUGAUGGAAAGUGAUCCAGUUGCUCAUAUGAUUGGCGUAAUAGCUGUUGAACCUCUUGGAACACCACUUUGGUUUGACAUAACGGGAGACAAGCUUGCUAGUGAAGUAUUUUACAUCUUUCAGAUGGCUUGUGACCUGAACUGUACAGCAGAAGGUGGCAACUCUGACAGUCGAUUUGAUGUGGACAAGGGUACUGGAACUAUCAUUGUUGCUAGACCUCUCGAUGCAGAGCAGAAAUCAAAUUACAACUUGACAGUAGAGGCAACAGAUGGAACCAGAUCUAUCAGCACUCAGGUGUACAUCAAAGUUAUAGACACAAAUAAUCACAGGCCACAGUUUUCUGCUUCAAAAUAUGAAGUUGUUAUACCCGAAGACACCAUGCCAGAGACAGAAAUUCUGCAAGUCAGUGCCACAGACAGAGAUGAGAAGAAUAAACUGAUAUAUACUAUGCAGGGCAGCACUGAUCCCAUCAGUCUCAAAAAAUUUCGUCUGGACCCUGGAACUGGCUCUCUUUAUACUUCAGAAAAACUGGAUCAUGAGACCAUGAACCAGCAUAUUCUUACAAUAAUGGUUCGAGAUCAAGAUGUCCCUGUAAAGCGUAACUAUGCUAGAAUCAUCAUUAAUGUUAGUGACACAAAUGAUCACGCCCCAUGGUUCACCAGCUCUUCCUAUGAAGGACGCGUGUACGAGUCAGCAGCUGUUGGAUCAGCAGUACUCCAGGUUACAGCAUUAGAUAAGGACAAAGGAAAAAAUGCAGAAAUUGUGUACUCUAUUGAAUCAGGGAAUAUUGGAAAUUCCUUCUCUUUAGAUCCCAUUUUGGGUAUGAUUAAAACUGCAAAGGAAUUAGAUCGUAGUAACCAGGAAGAAUACAACCUGAUGGUAAAAGCUGCAGACAAAGGAGAUCCUCCAAUGAGUGAAGUGACCUCUCUACGUAUAUUUGUCACGGUUUCUGAUAAUGCCUCACCAAAAUUCACAGCCAAAGAAUAUUCUGCAGAAAUCAGUGAAAGUGCCAGCGUCGGUAGUUUUGUUGGAAUGGUUACAGCAUACAGUCAGUCUUCUGUAGUCUAUGAAAUAAAAGAUGGAAAUAUAGGUGAUGCCUUUGCUAUCAAUCCAAACUCAGGUGUCAUUGUUUCUCAGAAGGUACUUGAUUUUGAAACUUUGCCUGUUUACACUCUAACUGUGCAAGGAACAAACAUGGCUGGCUUGUCCACUAAUGCAACAGUUUUGGUACAUCUUCGGGAUGAGAAUGACAAUACACCAGUUUUUAUGCAGGCUGAAUAUACAGGACUCAUCAGUGAAUCAGCUUCAAUUAACAGUGUGGUUCUGACUGACAAGAAUAUCCCAUUAGUAAUUCGAGCUACAGAUGCUGAUAAAGAAUCUAAUGCCUUGCUUGUUUAUCAAAUUGUUGAACCAUCUGUCCGCAAGUAUUUUGCCAUUGAUUCUAGCACUGGUGCCAUUUGGACAGUAAUGAGUCUGGACUAUGAGGAGACAAAUAUUUUCCACUUUUCAGUGCAAGUACAUGAUAUGGGGAUACCACAUUUAUAUGCAGAAUACACAGCUAAUGUUACUAUUUAUGUAAUUGACAUCAAUGACUGUCCUCCUGUGUUUUCAAGAGAGUUGUACGAGACAUCUAUUUUGGUUCCAACCUAUAAAGGUGUGGAAGUCAUCAGCGUAAAUGCCACUGAUGCUGAUUCGGGCAUUUUUUCACAAUUAAUUUAUUCCAUUAUUGAAGGCAACAUUGGAGAAAAAUUUUCAAUAAACCCUAAGACUGGAGGUAUAACAGUGCAAAAUACAACUCAGUUAAGAAGCAGAUAUGAAUUAACAGUGAGAGCAUCUGAUGGCAGAUUUGCAAGCACUGCAUCUGUAAAAGUUAAUGUGAAAGAAAGCAAGGCAAGCCAGCUGAAGUUCACACAGAGUUCUUACUCUGCAACAGUGCAGGAGAAUUCCACAGAGGCAAAAACAAUAGCUGUUGUUACUGCUAUAGGAAAUCAAAUAAAUGAGCCUUUGUUUUACCAUAUUCUAAAUCUAGACAGCAGAUUUAAAAUAAGCCCAACUUCUGGAGCCCUUUCAACAACAGGAAUACCAUUUGAUCGUGAACAGCAAGAAUCUUUUGAUGUGGUCAUAGAAGUGACAGAGGAAUACAGACCAUCAGUUGUUGCACACAUUGUAGUUAAAGUCACAGUGGAAGAUGUGAAUGAUAAUGCUCCAUUUUUUGUCAAUCUUCCGUAUUAUGCUGUUGUUAAAGUAGACUCUGAAGUAGGCCGUGUUAUUCAGCAUGUCACUGCAGUAGAUAAAGAUGCAGGUAGAAAUGGAGAGGUGCAUUAUUAUCUCAAAGAACAUCAUGAGCAUUUCCAAAUUGAUCCCACUGGUGAAAUCUCCCUGAAGAAGAAGUUUGAACCAGAUACACUAAACAAGGAGUAUCUGGUCACAGUAGUGGCAAAAGAUGAAGGAGACCCUGCGUUUUCUUCUGAAGUUACAGUCCCAAUUACAGUUAUGAGUAAAGCUAUGCCAGUUUUCGAAAAGCCUUUCUACACUGCAGAGAUACCAGAAAACAUUCACCUCCAUAGUCCUGUGGUACAUGUACAAGCAAACAGCCCAGAAGGACUUAAGGUGUUUUACAGCAUCACAGGUGGAGAUCCUUUCAAUCAGUUCACUAUCAACUUCAACACUGGAGUUAUAAAUGUCGUUGCCCUUCUUGACUUUGAGUCUCAUCCAGCCUACAAACUGAGUAUUCGAGCAACAGACUCCUUAACAGGGGCACAUGCUGAUGUGUUUGUAGACAUAAUAGUGGAAGACAUCAAUGAUAAUCCUCCUGUGUUUACAGAGCAAACUUACACUGCAACCCUUUCUGAGGCCUCUGUCAUUGGAACAUCUGUUGUACAAGUGAGCGCCACAGAUGCUGAUUCUGGAACAAACAGGGGGAUUUGCUAUCACUUGGUUGAGGAUAAUAGUGAAAGUCAUGACUACUUCCAUAUAGAUAGCAGCACUGGGCUCAUUCUUACAGCAAGAACUUUGGACUAUGAACAAAUUAAACAACACAAGUUACUAAUAAGGGCCAUAGAUGGUGGCAUGCUGCCCUUGAGCAGUGAUACCAUUGUAACUGUUGAUGUAACUGAUCUCAAUGAUAACCCCCCUGUUUUUAACCAGUUGCUUUAUGAAGCUAAAAUUAGUGAACUGGCUCCCCGAGGGCAUUUUGUGACAUGUGUGCAAGCAUCAGAUGCAGAUAGUUCGGAUGUUGACAAGCUGGAGUACUCCAUUCUGACAGGCAAUGACCAGAAGAAUUUUGUAAUUAAUAGUAAAACUGGCAUUAUCACCAUAUCAAACCUACGCAGACAGACGCUAAAGUCACAUUAUAAUCUUAAUGUGUCUGUUUCUGAUGGGGUCUUCAGAAGCUCAGCCCGAGUCUAUGUAACUGUAACCAGUGCCAAUAUGCACAGUCCCGUUUUCAGCCAGAAUGAGUAUGAGGUGGAACUAGCUGAAAAUGCUCCAUUGCAUACUUCAGUGACUGAAGUUAAAGCAACUGAUGAAGAUUCUGGUACAUAUGGCCACAUCACUUACCAUAUUGUGAAUGACUUUGCCAAAGACAGGUUUUAUGCAAAUGACAGAGGGCAGAUAUUUACCUCCAAAAAGCUUGACCGUGAAACACAAGCAGAAAAAGUAAUUGCCAUUAGUUUAAUGGCCAAAGAUUCAGGAGGAAAAGUUGCUUUCUGUACUGUUAAUGUAAUACUUACAGAUGUCAAUGAUAACACUCCUCAAUUCCGAGCAGCAGAGUAUGAAGUAAGUAUUGGAUCUGAUGUUCCACGGGGUACUUCUGUCAUUAAAGUCUGGGCAUCCGACGCUGAUGAGGGUACAAAUGCAGAUAUCACAUAUGCUAUUGAAGCAGAGUCUGAAAAUGUUAAAGAGAAUUUAGAAAUUGACUCAUUGUCUGGCAUAAUUACUACAAAAGAAAGCUUAAUUGGUUUAGAAAAUGAGUUUCUGACCUUCUUUGUUAGAGCAGUUGAUGGUGGAUCCCCCAAAAAAGUGUCAGUUGUUCCUGUCUAUGCUAGAAUACUCCCACCAGAAGUGCCUCUUCCAAAAUUUUCAGAGCCAUUUUAUUCUUACACAGUUUCUGAGGACAUUCCAAUUGGAACUGAGAUAGAUGUUAUCAAAGCAGAGCAUAAUCAGACUUUAGUAUAUAGUCUGAUUAAAGGGAACACCCCUGAAAGCAAUAGAGAUGCUUUUUUUGUGAUUGACCGACAGACUGGAGAGUUGAAACUUGACAAGAAUCUUGAUCAUGAAACAACUAAAUGGUACCAGUUCUCAGUUCAAGCACAAUAUGCAAAUGAAGAUUAUAAUAUUGUUUCCUCAGUAGAGGUAAGUAUUCAGGUAAAAGAUACAAAUGAUAACAGACCGAUUUUGGAGUCCAAUCCUUAUGAAGCAUUCAUCGUAGAAAACAUGCCAGCUGGAACAAAAGUCAUCCAGGUUAAAGGAACAGACUUGGAUUCAGGACUCAAUGGGCAGGUUACUUACAGCUUGGAUCCUUCUCAAGAACUAGACAUUUUAGAGUCUUUUGCUAUAAACAUGGAAACUGGCUGGAUUACCACUCUAAAAGAACUUGAUCAUGAGAAACAAGACAAAUACAAAGUCACAGUGGUUGCAUCUGAUCGGGGUGAAAAAGUUCAACUGUCUUCUAUGGCUGUGGUUGAAGUUACUGUUACAGAUGUGAAUGACAAUCCACCACGCUUUACUGCAGAGAUAUAUAAAGGAACAGUCAGUGAGGAUGACCCUCCUGAUGGGGUAAUUGCUAUCUUGAGUUCGACUGAUGCUGAUACAGAAGAAGCCAAUAGACAAGUCUUCUAUUACAUUACAGGAGGUGAUCCCUUGGGACAGUUUGCUAUUGAAAAUAUGCAGAAUGAAUGGAAGGUCUAUGUCAAAAAACCCUUAGACAGGGAAGAAAAGGAUAAUUACCUUCUAAAUAUUACAGCUACCGAUGGGACCUUUGCAACUAAAGCUGUGGUGGAGGUUAAAGUCCUUGAUGCUAAUGAUAAUAGCCCUGUUUGCGAAAAGGCUUUAUACACUGAUUCUGUUCCUGAGGAUGCACUUCCUGGCAAACUGAUAAUGCAGGUAUCUGCUACAGACGCAGAUAUUCGUUCCAAUGCAGAAAUUACUUACACACUGCAUGGCACAGGAGCAGAAAAAUUCAGACUCGCUCCAGACACAGGUGAACUGAAAACAUUAAUGCCACUUGAUCGUGAGCAGCAAGCAGUUUAUUAUCUCCUAGUGAAAGCUACAGAUGGAGGAGGAAGAUUCUGCCAAGCUAAUAUUAUUCUGACUCUGGAAGAUGUGAAUGAUAAUGCCCCAGUGUUUGCAGCUGAUCCUUACUCCAUUACAGUAUUUGAAAACACAGAGCCUAAAACCCUUUUGACAAGAGUACAGGCAACAGAUGCUGAUGCAGGGAUGAACCGUAAAAUCCAUUAUUCACUGGUGAACUCUGCAGAGGGCCAGUUCUCUAUCGAUGAAUUCUCUGGAAUCAUUCGUUUGGAGAAGCCAUUGGAUCGGGAAUUACAAGCUGUGUACACUCUAACUUUGAAGGCUACAGAUGAAGGUUUACCUAGAAGACUGUCUUCAACAAGUAGUCUUAUAGUUUCUGUUUUGGAUAUAAAUGAUAAUCCACCUGUAUUUGAGUAUAGGGAGUAUAGUGCAAGUGUAUCAGAGGACAUUUUGGUUGGAACUGAAGUUCUCCAGAUCUAUGCUGCAAGCAGGGACAUUGAAGCCAACGCUGAAAUCACAUACUCAAUAGUCAGUGGCAAUGAACAUGGAAAAUUCAGCAUUGAUUCAACAACAGGAGCCAUUUUUGUCAUUGAGAGCUUGGAUUAUGAAAGUUCUCAUGAGUACUACUUGACAGUGGAAGCCACAGAUGGAGGCACUCCUUCACUAAGUGAUGUUGUAACAGUGAAUAUUAAUGUAACAGAUAUCAAUGACAAUACUCCAGUGUUUAGCCAAGACACUUACACUGCAGUAAUCAGUGAAGAUGCUAUGCUUGAACAAUCAGUCAUUACAGUUAUGGCAGAUGAUGCCGAUGGACCUUCAAACAACCGCAUUCACUACGCAAUUAUAGAUGGCAAUCAGGGAAAUCCUUUUACAAUUGACCCCACAAGAGGUGAAAUAAAAGUGGCUAAAUUUCUAGACAGAGAAAAGAUUUCAGGAUAUACCUUGACAGUUCAAGCUUCAGAUAAUGGAAACCCACCGAGACUUAACACAACUGCAGUUAAUAUUGAUGUUUCUGAUGUAAAUGACAAUCCUCCAGUAUUCUCAAAAGGAAACUAUAGUGUUAUCAUCCAGGAAAAUAAGCCUGUUGGAUUUAGUGUGCUGCAGCUAGUGGUGACAGACAAGGAUUCUUCUCACAAUGGCCCUCCAUUUCUCUUUACCAUCCUGAGCGGAAAUGAAGAGAACACUUUUCAGAUUACCCAGCAGGGAGUACUGACAACAGCUGCUGCACUGAAUCGCAAAGUGAGGGAUCACUAUUUACUCCAUGUUAAGGUGGCAGAUAAUGGAAAACCACCAUUGUCAUCUUUGACUUACAUUGAUAUUAGAGUUAUUGAGGAAAGCAUUUAUUCUCCAGCAAUUCUGCCUCUAGAAAUCUUUAUCACAGCCUUUGGAGAAGAAUAUUCAGGUGGUGUUAUUGGAAAAAUUCAUGCAACUGAUCAAGAUGUUUAUGAUACUCUGACGUACAGUCUGGACCCCAAAAUGGAAUCCUUGUUCUCCGUUUCCAGUACCGGUGGCAAACUAAUAGCACAUAAAAGCUUAGAUGUAGGACAGUACCUCCUAAAUGUCACUGUUACAGAUGGAAAAUUUGCAACUGCAGCUGAUAUUACUGUGCACAUCCGACAAAUCACACAAGAUUUACUAAAUCACAGCAUUGCAAUACGCUUUGCAAACCUUGCCCCUGAAGAAUUCAUUGGUGAUUACUGGCGCAAUUUCCAGAGAGCGUUAAGAAACAUCUUGGGUGUGAGGAGAAAUGAUAUCCAGAUUGUUAGUUUGCAGCCCUCUGAUCCUCCUUCAAAUCUUGAUGUCCUCCUGCAUAUUGAAAAGUCUGGUAGCUCUCAGCAUCCGGUGAGAAUUUUGCUCCACAAGAUAAACUCUUCUGUGCCUGACCUAGAGGAGAUUUUGGGUGUCCGGAUAAUUGAUGUUUUCCAUAAGCUUUGUGCAGGCCUAGAUUGUCCUUUGAAAUUUUGUGAAGAAAAGGUAACAGUGGAUGAGAACAUCAUGUCAACCCACAGCACAGCCAGGUUGAGUUUUGUCACUCCCCGUCAUCACAGAACAGCAGUUUGUCUUUGUAAAGAAGGGAAAUGCCCCUUGGUGAAUAGUGUGUGUGAAGAAAACCCAUGCCCUGAAGGUACUGAAUGUUUAGGAGAUCCAAGGGAAGGAAAAUACACCUGUGUUUGCCAAGACAGCCAAGUCGGACAGUGUCCUGCAUCAGCCAGCUCUGCUGUGACAUUUAGUGGGAGCAGCUAUGUGAAAUACCGUCUCAUGGAAAAUGAGAACAAAGAGGAAAUGAAGCUGGCAAUGAGACUUAGGACUUACUCUGCUCAUGCAGUUGUUAUGUAUGCUCGAGGAACAGACUACAGUAUCUUAGAGAUUCACCAUGGAAGGCUGCAAUACAAAUUUGAUUGUGGCAGUGGACCUGGGAUUGUCUCUGUUCAGAGCAUUCAGAUAAAUGAUGGCCAGUGGCAUUCAGUGUCUCUUGAAGUGGAUGGAAAUUACGCACGACUUGUUCUGGAUAGGGUGCAUACUGCUUCUGGUACUGCUCCUGGUACACUUAGGACACUAAACCUAGAUAAUCAUGUGUUUUUUGGUGGUCAUAUUCGACAGCAAGGUACCAGACAUGGUAGAAGCCCUCAGGUUAGCAAUGGUUUCAGAGGCUGUAUGGAUUCUGUUGUACUUAAUGGACAAGAGCUGCCCCUGAACAGUAAACCACGAAAUUAUGCACACAUGGAAGAAUCUGUAGAUGUGACUCCUGGAUGCUUACUGACUACCACAGAAGGUUGUUCAAGCAGUCCAUGUCAGAAUGGAGGCAUCUGCAAUGCAUUGUCAAAUGGAGGUUACUACUGCAAGUGUGCACCUUUGUUUAUGGGAACUCACUGUGAUGUAAGUGUCAACCCAUGUGCUUCCAACCCCUGCCUUUAUGGUGGUACUUGCAUCCCGGUCAGUGAUGAUUUUAUCUGCCAGUGCCGAGGACAAUAUACAGGGCAAAGGUGCCAGCUGGGUCCAUACUGCAAAGACAAUCCUUGUAAAAACAGUGGCAAGUGUAUUGACAGUUUGGAUGGACCUGUUUGUGAGUGUGAAGUAGGCUUCCGUGGAGAAAGGUGCCUGACUGAUGUCGAUGAAUGCAUAGAAAACCCAUGUCUUAAUGGUGCCCUUUGUGAGAAUACUUACGGUUCAUAUCACUGCAACUGUAGCCAUGGAUUUGGAGGAAAACACUGCACAGACAUUGUUCUUAACAAAUACGUUUCAACAUCUUGGAACAUUAGCUUAGCUGAAGUGAUUGGGAUCAUUGUUUUCAUCGCAGGAAUAUUCUUGUUAGUUGUCGUUUUUGUUGUUUGCCGCAAAGUGGUUAGUAGAAAGAAGAAGCAUCAGCCAGAACCUGAAGACAAGCAGCUGGGGGCUACAACAGCUUUCUUGCAAAGACCUUAUUUUGAUGCAAAAUUGAAUAAGAACAUCUAUUCUGACAUCCCACCACAGGUUCCUGUUCGUCCCAUUUCGUACACUCCAAGCAUUCCAAGUGACUCCAGGAACAAUCUUGACAGGAAUUCUUUUGAAGGGUCUGCUAUCCCCGAGCACCCAGAGUUUAGUACUUUUAACCCAGAUUCUGUACAUGGUCAUCGGAAAGCUGUAGCUGUUUGCAGCGUAGCACCAAAUUUGCCACCUCCACCUCCCUCCAACUCUCCUUCAGACAGUGAUUCAAUACAGAAACCCAGCUGGGAUUUUGACUAUGACAGUAAAGUAGUAGAUCUUGACCCCUGCCUUUCAAAAAAGCCUUUGGAUGAAAAGAACUCCCACCCUUACAGUGCUAGAGAAAGCAUGUCUGAGGUCCAGUCUCUCAGCUCCUUUCAGUCUGAAUCAUGUGAUGACAAUGCUCCCAUAUGGAUCAGAUCAGUUCUGAGUGAAAGCAGAGUUUAAGGGACUGCUUCUUCCGUAGUGACUGUAAUACACCUUGUCAAUGCUGUUGUUGACUCGGUGGAAAAAGAAGAGUCUUUUGCUGUUCCUGACCUCAGCAAUUCAAGAGGUUAUCACUGGGAUACAUCAGACUGGAUGCCAAGUGUUCAGUUGCCAGGUAUCCAAGAGUAUCCAAAUUAUGAAGUGGUUGAAGAGUCAGCUCCCCUUUACAGUGAUCCGAAUGCCAUCGAUACAGACUAUUACCCUGGCGGUUAUGACAUUGAAAGUGAUUUUCCGCCUCCACCUGAUGACUUCCCUGCACCUGAUGAGCUUCCACCAUUACCACCAGACUACAGCGACCAAUUUGAGUCAAUACAGCCACCCAGAGACAUGCCAGCCGUAGGUAGCUUGGGUUCUUCUGCAAGAAGCAGGCAGAGAUUUAACCUUAAUCAGUACCUUCCCCAUCACUAUCCUGCAGACAUGUCAGAACCUCAGACCACAACCGGUGGUGUCAACGGCAGUUACAGAGAACCUUAUGCUCCUUACACGUUAGGGUACAAUAGAGACUUUGAAGCACCAACUGUAGACAACAUGUCCAUGUCUGUGUAUGCUUCCACAGCUUCAUGCUCCGAUGUGUCAGCAUGCUGUGAAAUGGAGUCAGAAGUCAUGAUGAGUGACUAUGAGAGUGGAGACGAUGGUCAUUUUGAAGAUGUGAGGAUUCCUCCGCUUGAUUCCCAGCAACAUACAGAAGUCUGACACGCUCAACAAAAGUGCCUGGACUCUAACAAACUUUAUCAAUUCUAGAACAACUUUCAAGAGCUUUUUUAGUUUUUUUUUCUUAUUCCCAGCCACAGUGAAUGCUUUUGUUUCAGUGAGCUAAACUGGCAUGGCAGCCUUGGAUCAUGCAGUUCAUUUCACUAAAUCAGCCUGUUUCCAUUUCCUGACCUACUGUAAUUGGACAGUUCCAAGAUUUCCAUUGGCCGUGCCAUUUCUGAACAUCCUUUUUGUACUUACAUUGUCUAUGUUAAGAAAAUCACAUACCACUUCUCCAUGUUAGCAUGAUGCAUAUAUUUAUAUAGUUCUAAUGCAAUUAAUUUUCUCCUACUUUUUGUAAAUUUUAUGUACAGUUUUGAUUUUAAUAGUUUUAACUAGAUUUUGUAGAUAUUUUGUGAAUUUGUUUUCCACUGAAACUAGUGGUGUUAGUGUGCCAUUAAAAACUAGCACCCUGACUUAUUAUAAUCAGGGCUUCACUGUAUGUAUUCCCUAAAAAACUAAGGUUUCACAUUUCAUUAUUUUAAAAAAAAAAAAAAAAAAAUCAACAUAUUCACACAAUUCCAACUGUACAUAGGUUAGAUCUGAUAUUCUUCUGGGUCUGCUACAUGGAAAUGUCUUAAAUGGGUUGCUGUAUUUUAGAACUGUAAACAAUUUUUCCCUUCUUGGAAAGUGUGUUGGGGGCCCUCUACAUACCAGUUUAGAACCAAAACCACCAUGACACAGUUUUUAUAGUGUCUGUAUAUUUGUGAUCCAAUGGUCUUGUAAAGGUUUUUACUGAAAAUUACCAUUAGCCAGUCUUUCUUACUGACAAUAAAUUAUUAAUAAAAUACUUUAGCUUUGCUCUGUGUAUCUGUAUUAUAUAUAAUAUACAAUUGACAAAGCAUUCAGUGCAGCAUUUUUAAGUCUGUAUAUGUUUUGUACUGUAUGAAGUUAAUUGCUCCAAGCAACACAUUUUCCUCUCCUCAGAAGUCAAACCGCAGCUGUGUUAGAUGCUCACUAGAUGGCAGUGUGUGUCUACUUAAUGGUGUUUUAAAAAGUAAACGGGCCAGUAUGAAUAAAGAUUGAUGGGUAUCAAACUCCA